Molecule: ribosomal RNA, 735 nt
Filed under: Salmonella enterica subsp. enterica serovar Urbana
Lineage: Bacteria; Pseudomonadati; Pseudomonadota; Gammaproteobacteria; Enterobacterales; Enterobacteriaceae
Description: partial 23S ribosomal RNA
Rfam family: Bacterial large subunit ribosomal RNA
Source: RNAcentral
CACAUACGCAUCCUUUGCUGAGGAUACGGUUAACGGAGCGAAAGCGACGUUCAACCGCAAAAAAAGAAGCAGAGGGGGCUUAGUGGUGGGGUGACUGCGUACCUUUUGUAUAAUGGGUCAGCGACUUAUAUUCUGUAGCAAGGUUAACCGAAUAGGGGAGCCGGAGGGAAACCGAGUCUUAAUUGGGCGUUAAGUUGCAGGGUAUAGACCCGAAACCUGGUGAUCUAGCCAUGGGCAGGUUGAAGGUUGGGUAACACUAACUGGAGGACCGAACCGACUAAUGUUGAAAAAUUAGCGGAUGACCUGUGGCUGGGGGUGAAAGGCCAAUCAAACCGGGAGAUAGCUGGUUCUCCCCGAAAGCUAUUUAGGUAGCGCCUCGUGAAUUCAUCUCCGGGGGUAGAGCACUGUUUCGGCUAGGGGGCCAUCCCGGCUUACCAACCCGAUGCAAACUGCGAAUACCGGAGAAUGUUAUCACGGGAGACACACGGCGGGUGCUAACGUCCGUCGUGAAGAGGGAAACAACCCAGACCGCCAGCUAAGGUCCCAAAGUCAUGGUUAAGUGGGAAACGAUGUGGGAAGGCCCAGACAGCCAGGAUGUUGGCUUAGAAGCAGCCAUCAUUUAAAGAAAGCGUAAUAGCUCACUGGUCGAGUCGGCCUGCGCGGAAGAUGUAACGGGGCUAAACCAUGCACCGAAGCUGCGGCAGCGACGCUGAUGCGUUGUUGGGUAGGGGAGCG